GAUGAAGAACGUAGCGAAAUGCGAUACGUAGUGUGAAUUGCAGAAUUCAGUGAAUCAUCGAAUCUUUGAACGCACAUUGCACCUCUCGGUAUUCCGGGAGGUAUGCCUGUUCGAGCGUCAUUUGUACCCUCAAGCUCUGCUUGGUGUUGGGUGUUUGUUCCGCCUCUGUGUGUGAACUCGCCUCAAAACAAUUGGCAGCCGGCGUACUUGUUUCGGAGCGCAGCACAUGUUGCGAUCCAGAUCAACGUACAGCGGCAUCCAAGAAGCCUUAUUUAACGCUCUUGACCUCGGAUCAGGUAGGGAUACCCGCUGAACUUAAGCAUAUCAAUAAGCGGAGGA
Molecule: unclassified non-coding RNA, 339 nt
Filed under: soil metagenome
Description: partial contains 5.8S ribosomal RNA, internal transcribed spacer 2, and large subunit ribosomal RNA
Rfam family: 5.8S ribosomal RNA (bases 1-120)
Source: RNAcentral